CCUACGGGAGGCAGCAGUGGGGGAUAUUGCACAAUGGGGGGAACCCUGAUGCAGCGACGCCGCGUGGGUGAAGGAGCGUUUCGGCGCGUAAAGCCCUAUCGGCAGGGAAGAAGGAGGACGGUACCUGACUAAGAAGCACCGGCUAACUACGUGCCAGCAGCCGCGGUAAUACGGAGGGGGCAAGCGUUAUCCGGAUUUACUGGGUGUAAGGGGGGCGCAGGCGGGAGGGCAAGCCAGAAGUGAAAGCCCGGGGCACAACCCCGGAACUGCACUUGGAAUUGGGCGGCUGGAGUGCAGGAGGGGCAGGCGGAAUUCCUGGUGUAGCGGUGAAAUGCGUAGAGAUCAGGAGGAACACCGGUGGCGAAGGCGGCCUGCUGGACUGCGACUGACGUUGAGGCGCGAAAGCGUGGGGAGCAAACAGGAUUAGAUACCCGUGUAGUC
RNAcentral lists this ribosomal RNA (441 nucleotides) under uncultured bacterium. Its description in RNAcentral is "partial 16S ribosomal RNA". It matches the Rfam family "Bacterial small subunit ribosomal RNA", at positions 338 to 795 of the family's 1533-position model. The record is from RNAcentral.